This 43-nucleotide small RNA is filed under the name Arabidopsis thaliana (thale cress). RNAcentral describes it as "ATSL068850". Lineage: Eukaryota; Viridiplantae; Streptophyta; Magnoliopsida; Brassicales; Brassicaceae. The record is from RNAcentral.
UUCCAAUCUGCAUCUUCAUCAAAAAGCAAUCAAGAAGGUAAUG